CAGUCGCCGCGGUAAUACGAAGGGUGCAAGCGUUAAUCGGAAUUACUGGGCGUAAAGCGUGCGUAGGCGGUGAGUUAAGUCUGCUGUGAAAUCCCCGGGCUCAACCUGGGAACUGCAUUUGUGACUGGCAAGCUAGAGUAUGGCAGAGGGGGGUGGAAUUCCGCGUGUAGCAGUGAAAUGCGUAGAUAUGCGGAGGAACACCGAUGGCGAAGGCAGCCCCCUGGGCCAAUACUGACGCUCAUGCACGAAAGCGUGGGGAGCAAACAGGAUUAGAUACCCGAGUAGUCCCUGUCUCUUAUAC
RNAcentral lists this ribosomal RNA (301 nucleotides) under uncultured bacterium. RNAcentral describes it as "partial 16S ribosomal RNA". It matches the Rfam family "Bacterial small subunit ribosomal RNA", at positions 509 to 807 of the family's 1533-position model. The record is from RNAcentral.